RNAcentral lists this long non-coding RNA (268 nucleotides) under Ananas comosus (pineapple). RNAcentral's name for it is "long non-coding RNA (ACOM_LNC043568)". The record is from RNAcentral. Lineage: Eukaryota; Viridiplantae; Streptophyta; Magnoliopsida; Poales; Bromeliaceae.
CAGUAUAUUCAGCCCAUCGUGGAAUUGAAUACUGGUAUCAACCUAAAGUACAAUACUGGCGAUACCGGUACUCAAAAUGAGUACCGGUACACGGUACAAAAAAUAUUUUUUCAAGCUUCGGGUUUUGAGGAACUCCUAAGGUACUUUUUAGUACUGAUACUCAAACUUCACCAACAUCCAAAACCCCAUAAAUCUUCGAUUUUUUUUAUAGUGAUAUCAACUCGAAACAUGACUUUACAUAAUCCAGCAUUAAUUACAACCAAACCAC